Molecule: long non-coding RNA, 2247 nt
Organism: Oncorhynchus gorbuscha (pink salmon)
Lineage: Eukaryota; Metazoa; Chordata; Actinopteri; Salmoniformes; Salmonidae
Exons: 3
Source: RefSeq, a predicted model, not a curated record
AGAGGGAUAGAGACAGUUUGUGAGGUAGCGCUACUCAAUUGAUAGUUGUAGUAAUUGGUAAUAAGCAGUCUUGAAAGUAUGCCCUAUGUACUUUAAAGAACUAGUAAAAUAAUUUUAUCAGAGAGCUCUGCAGCAUACUUAGGCAGCUACUAGCUAGCCUAGCUAAAUAGGAUGACUCAAAGACGAUCUGCCCAGUUUGGAUAGAGAUGUAAGAACUAUGACAAUGAAUAGCAUUUGGCCCACCAGAAGGUGGUUCAGAACUGCCUAGACAUGCCCCAGUUCCUGUCCCUCGGGCUCAUUCCUCAGCAUCAGAAUGUACUGACUGGAGGAGGAGGGUUGGCUUUCAUCCGCCCGGCUGCAGUCUGCUGUGCUCCCCUCUAAUCCCCUGCCUGUGUGGCAUUUAACCCCUCUGUACCUGGUCUGGUCUGCUGGGUGUUGGUUUAAACCUCACUACCUGUGUGGCAUUUAACCCCUCUGUACCUGGUCUGGUCUGCUGGGUGAUGGUUUAAACCUCAUUACUUGUGUGUAUUUAACCCCUCUGUACCUGGUCUGGUCUGCUGGGUGUUGGUUUAAACCUCAUUACUUGUGUGUAUUUAACCCCUCUGUACCUGGUCUGGUCUGCUGGGUGUUGGUUUAAACCUCACUACCUGUGUGGCAUUUAGCCCCUCUUUACCUGAUCAGGACUGGGUAAACCAUUACGUUGAUUUUGGCACACUACUAUAGUUAUGUUCAUAUUGUUUUGUGCAUACUAUUACACCUGUUAACAGUGUUAACAGUGUGGACAGCCCCUCUUACCGAUGCAAUUCCCACGUGUGUCCUGUGUGAAGCCCAUGGAGCAGUGCGGUUUGGCGUUACACCUGAACGAACCCUCACUGUUCACACACUCAAAGUCUGGCCCACAGUUAUGAGUCCCCUGAACACACUCGUCCAUAUCUGUGGACAGAGACGGUGAUUAUAAACAGGAUGUAGGUUAGAAAUAAAAGCCUAAUACACGACACAUGUUUUGGGGGUUGGUGAACUAAUGUCAGCUUGUGAUCCAUUUGUAAUCCAUCGAGUUGAAGAGAAGCAAAACUACUCAUACGUUGCGAGCCUGUUAGUGUCAUGUCUACUGUAACCACUGGGUGUCACUGUGGCUUUGAGAUAGAGUGCCAGAUAAAUCCUUUCACAUAGAUCUAUCCAAACACCCUUCUUUGCCUCAACAAUAAAAUAGUUUGUUCUCCAACGUCAGAGAGGAUCUUAGGAAUGAUCCCACUAUCAAUCAUCCUCAUUGCGGUAGUUCUACAGCUAGUAGAAAGAUCAUUUAUACAUGAUGAAUUGUCUCCAUUGAGUCAGCCCAUCAGACAAUAGUGUGCAUUAUUAGUCUGGCUGUUCUCUAGUGUUCUCAGGGUUGAUGAUAACAGGGUUGACGAUUUCAUCUUAAUCAGACAUAAAUCCCCUUGUGACAGGGGAAAUGGAAGCUUGUGCGCAACAGGGAGUGGCAAUUAAAUGCAAGCUUCACAAAACAAAUGAAAUUGUUAAAACAUUUCUAGCAUGUCUCUAUCUAUUGGGAACAGGGUUGACGUGUAAUGCCCGACCUGCUCAGCUUUCCACCACAAAACAACAGGAAUGGCCAAGAAGAGUAGGACUAACUCACUUGCUUUUACACUAUGUUUUGACUAUUAAAUGUUCCAAUGUUUCUUUUGAAGUAAAACAUAAAUAAAAAAUCAGUUCACUUAGCAGGGUUCACCUUAAAACGAGGGACAGAUGCAAAUGAAUCACUAACCACAUUAAAUGAAUAAUUAGUCUUCAGAAAUGACCGUCAAAGCAACAAAAUAACUAGGGCUUUACCAGGAUGGUGAAUGAUGUUGGGGUUAUAAGUGGGUCAAAGUCUUCGUAGAGGUGACACAGGGUUGACAUGUCAAAAUGCUGCAUUUUGUCCCUUUAGCAAGUCAAUUAUCCAUGUGGUCUACAUUCAAGGCUACUUCAUUUAAUAUAACAGGCUUUUUCAAAUGCAAUAUUGGUGCACAAUUUCUACUUAAAAUAUAAAAAGGGACCACCCAUUUCCACCCACCCACCCAGCUCUGUGCUGUAGCUCCUCCAGCUGUCUACAAUGGGAUUCCCCAGCUGUCUACACUGACAUAUCUGCUGCUGUACAGAGCCUCAUCACUGUAGGGAAAUCACAUCUGUCAUAAACAGGACUUAGAGAGAACUUUUGUGUGUGUGUGUGUGUGUGUGUGUGUGUGUGUGUGUGUGUGUGUGUGUGUGUGU